UCGUCUUAAAUUAAUUGUCACAAAUGUCUUUUUAAGUUGUUCAUCUAUUUGUCACAUGCUUUUUAGGAAUCAAUUGUUCCAAUUUUACUCACCCAAUUAUUUCGUCCUAUUAUAUUACCCUUUUAAAAAAUUGCGUUGUUUUUCAGUUAUUUUAGGAGAAAGAAAUUUAUAGUAUUAUGGAGUAAUAUGAUAGUAUAAUUUUUUUUGUUAAAAGAAGUAAUGUUCUUACAAAGACAACUUAGAUAACAAAAAAAUAAUGGUAUUUAAAGGAAAAAAAAGCUCUAACCAACAGUAAAGCAAAAAAAAAAUGGACAUCACUUAUCAUCAUUAAUCAUUACAUUACAACUUACAAAUGGCCUAGAAAGUAAAAAGUAAGUAGCAGAAAAAAAGCUGGCUUGGUUUUUCUUCUAAAAAAAAAGUAGAAAGAAAUAGGAUAGAAGUUUUUUUUUUGAGGGGAAAUAGGAUAGAAAUUAUACCUGCUCAUCAUUCCUUUUUUUCCAAAAGCAAAAUAAAUUAAUUUCCCCUGCUCAUCCUUUCUUUCCAAAAGCAAAAGAAAUUAUUUUUCCCUGCUCAUCCUUUCUUUCCAAAAGAAAAAUUUGUUCUCAUCCAUAAGCAAUUGCUAAUCUCUCACUAUGAUGACUUAAUGCUCCUUCUUUUAAGUCCUCAUCCAUGUCAUAAAGCACCUCAGAUGUAUCAGGGACAUGCCCAUGUAAGGUCAAGAGCCUAUCAACCUCAUCAGACAUCUCAUAUAUUGCUUUACUAUGUGGGUGAAGCUUAUCGCCUACAAGAAACUCAUGAACGAUGCUAUUUACUCUGUGGGAAUCAUAGAGUUCUUCUCUUGGGUAAGAGAAAGGGGAAACAUCAAAGGAGUAUAGAACUAAGAAGACAUUUAUGGAAGAACAUCUCUUAUUCAACAAAGCUUUUUCCAUUAUUGCUCACAAUUAAAGUGAAAAGGACACAAGGACCUCCCCUCUUGAUGAAUGGGAAUUGCAUUGGAAAUUAAACAUAUUCUAAUGUUAGUUUAUUGGGCCCCUACAACUAUUCAAGAUAUGUAGAAGAUGGUGGGUUUGAAUGCUGACCGUGGCUUACAAAAAGCUUUUCCCCUUGGAAUGCCACAUAGGAUAGCUACUUUUCCUUUUUCUCAUUUCAAUAUUUUUUUUUUGAGGAGAUUUCUAGUAGGUAAAUCAUAUGGGCGGGAAUUAGAAGAACAUGUGCAUGCCACCUAGGAUAGUUUUGGGGGGAAAACUAAACCAUGUUUUCUCUUUUAGUAUAUAGUAAUAGAUAUAAAUGCAUGAUGUGUCUUUUCAUUACA
Beta vulgaris subsp. vulgaris (sugar beet) is the source of this 1312-nucleotide long non-coding RNA. RefSeq lists it as uncharacterized. The transcript has 2 exons. NCBI's taxonomy places the organism in Eukaryota, Viridiplantae, Streptophyta, Magnoliopsida, Caryophyllales, Amaranthaceae. The record is from RefSeq and is a predicted model, not a curated record.